UACAGAGGGUGCAAACGUUGCUCGGAAUCAUUGGGCGUAAAGCGCACGUAGGCGGCCUAGCAAGUAGGGAGUGAAAGCCCUCGGCUUAACCGAGGAAGUGCUUUCUAAACUACUAGGCUUGAAUACUGGAGAGGGUCGCGGAAUUCCCGGUGUAGAGGUGAAAUUCGUAGAUAUCGGGAGGAACACCAGUGGCGAAGGCGGCGACCUGGACAGAUAUUGACGCUGAGGUGCGAAAGCGUGGGGAGCGAACAGG
This 253-nucleotide ribosomal RNA is filed under the name uncultured bacterium. RNAcentral's name for it is "partial 16S ribosomal RNA". It matches the Rfam family "Bacterial small subunit ribosomal RNA", at positions 524 to 776 of the family's 1533-position model. The record is from RNAcentral.